UACGUAGGUCCCGAGCGUUGUCCGGAUUUAUUGGGCGUAAAGCGAACGCAGGUGGUUUAUUAAGUCUGGUGUAAAAGGCAGUGGCUCAACCAUUGUAUGCAUUGGAAACUGGUAGACUUGAGUGCAGGAGAGGAGAGUGGAAUUCCAUGUGUAGCGGUGAAAUACGUAGAUAUAUGGAGGAACACCGGUGGCGAAAGCGGCUCUCUGGCCUGUAACUGACACUGAGGCUCGAAAGCGUGGGGAGCAAACAGG
RNAcentral lists this ribosomal RNA (252 nucleotides) under uncultured bacterium. RNAcentral describes it as "partial 16S ribosomal RNA". It matches the Rfam family "Bacterial small subunit ribosomal RNA", at positions 524 to 776 of the family's 1533-position model. The record is from RNAcentral.